This 301-nucleotide ribosomal RNA is filed under the name Klebsiella pneumoniae. RNAcentral's name for it is "bacterial SSU rRNA". It matches the Rfam family "Bacterial small subunit ribosomal RNA", at positions 31 to 330 of the family's 1533-position model. Lineage: Bacteria; Pseudomonadati; Pseudomonadota; Gammaproteobacteria; Enterobacterales; Enterobacteriaceae. The record is from RNAcentral.
GAACGCUGGCGGCAGGCCUAACACAUGCAAGUCGAGCGGUAGCACAGAGAGCUUGCUCUCGGGUGACGAGCGGCGGACGGGUGAGUAAUGUCUGGGAAACUGCCUGAUGGAGGGGGAUAACUACUGGAAACGGUAGCUAAUACCGCAUAACGUCGCAAGACCAAAGUGGGGGACCUUCGGGCCUCAUGCCAUCAGAUGUGCCCAGAUGGGAUUAGCUAGUAGGUGGGGUAACGGCUCACCUAGGCGACGAUCCCUAGCUGGUCUGAGAGGAUGACCAGCCACACUGGAACUGAGACACGGU